ACCUGGCUGGCUCAGUCGGUAGAGCAUGCGACUCCUGAUCUCAGGGUUGUGGGUUCUAGCCCCACGUUGGGUG
This is a non-coding RNA of Zalophus californianus (California sea lion), 73 nucleotides long. The record is from the annotation of a RefSeq genome assembly. Lineage: Eukaryota; Metazoa; Chordata; Mammalia; Carnivora; Otariidae.